UUUUUUUUUCUUUUUUCUUUUUUUGCUUUUUAGUUCUGCACCCACAGCAUAUGAAAGUUCCCAGGCUAGGGGUCAAAUCGUGCUGCAGGUGCCAGCCUAUGCCAUAGCCACAGCAAGAUGGGAUCCAAGCCAUCAGAUCCAAGUCUGUGACCUGCAGCGCAGCUCAUGGCAAUGCUGGAUCCUUAACCCACUGGAUAAGGCCAGGGAUUGAACCUGCAGCCUCAUAGAUACUAGUUGGGUUCAUAACCCACUGAGACACAGCAGGAACUCCCAUGAUUCACAAUUUAAUUUCUGGUAACAUUUUCACAAGUAGCAUCAAUAAUAAAAUUUUAACACUUUUUACAGAACAUAUUAUAUAUAAGGCACUCUAUUGAGUCCAUUCUACACAUUAUCACAUGAGUCCUUAAAAUAAACCCAUGAUUCAAGUGGUAUGCUGUCUAUUGUGUAAGUGCAGAAAUUGAUUUUUUUUAUGCUAAAAAUUUCCCUAAGUUAGUAGCCAGUAAAUUGUCAGGCCUCUUUUCUCAGCCAUAUUCUCUUGUACCCAGGGAGGAGAACAAAGGCCAAUAAUAGUGAGUCAGGGAGAAUAAAUUUGGGUUAAAUACAAUAAACAUUAUAAUGAUAAGGAUUGUCCAAACAAGAAUUGGCCACCCUGGUGGAUAUAGCUCCAUCACUGGAAGGGUUCCAGCAAAGGCUAGCUGGCCAUCUGUCAUGUUCCUUGCAGAAGCAAAUUCUGACUGGCUGGGAGGUUGAACUUAAUGAUUUUACAAUGCCCUUUCCGAUCCUGAGGCUCUGAUUUAAAAUCCCUGGUAACCUCUGUGAUUUCCAUUUCAAUUCUGUUUCUAAGUCUUUAUACAGCUGACUUGCUUCUCCAGUGUUCUGACUUCCUUUUAAUUUAGAGUGAACAUUUCUAGUUAAGAAUGGAAUUUGGAUAAUUUAUACUUUAAUAUAAUUCUCAUUGGAAAAAGAUAGAUGCUUAACUAUCCUCUAUGCCAACAUAACAAAGACAAAGCUAGAACAUUCCAGAGCCUACUUCAGGGCAGUAUCACAUUCAGAAGAAACUCUAAUUUCUUAUAAACAAAUGUUUAAAAAUGUUAAAUUUUGGAAUUAUCUUGUGGCACAGCAUGUUAAGGAUCCGGCAUUGUCAUUACAGCAACUUGGUUCACUGAUGUGGGUUCGAUCCAGGGGAACUUCCACGUGCCACAGGUCUGGUCAAUAAAUAAAUAAAAUUGAAAUGCCAUCUUUAAUGUUAAAAUAAGAUACCAAGCAUCAUACUAAGAGAAAAAAGAAAUUCCUUAAAGUCAUUUUUUCAUAAUGUAUUUUUCUUAUACUUAAAGUGAGUAAAGACAGCUGCUCCCUAAAUAUUUUCUCAUUUCAAGAGCCCUAACCCAAAUUCUAUACAAUUUAACCUCUGCUGGAAUUUACCCGUUUUCUACAGAUCUUUAAUUUUUUUCCUAAGAGUUUCCUAAACCCUUUCCUAUUUAAACAAGUUGAUCUUUCCUUUUCCUCCAGUUUUUUGUUUGUUUGUUUGUUUGUUUGUUUUUUAAGGGCUGCACAUGCUGCAUAUGGGAUUUCCCAGUCUAGGGGUUGAGCUGCAGCCACUGGCCUACACCACAGCCACAUAAAUGUUGGAUCGGAGUCAAAUAUGCAACCUGUACCACAGCUUGCAUCAACAUUGGACCCUUAACCUGCUGAGUGAAGCCAGGGAUCAGACCCACAUCCUCUUGGGUACUAGUUCUUAACCCGCUGAACCACAAUAGGAACUCCUUCCUCCAGUUCUUUAUUUCACCCAUUAACCUUGAGUAUCAUUCUCACAGAAGGCAGAAAAGAAGGGAGCCUCCAGAUACUCACAUUUUAUUAUAAAACUUAAGUAUUUAAGAACCUUCUCAAAGAAUAAAACGUAUCUACUUGUGCCACCUAUAGUUCUUGCUUAUCCACAGCCUGUCCCCCUCCUUCCUGACCUUUCUUCUCAAUCUCCAAGAGGAUCCAGUGGGAUCUUCUAAUGAUAAACAUUGACUGCAUCCUUUAAAGUCAUGUUUAACCAACUGAGGUGUGAGUAACUUAGACAAGUCCAGAGUAGUGAAUCACACUGGCUUUCAGAGUCAGUCCCCCCCAAUCCUGAUUCUAUUCCUCUUGAGAGAAGGAAGCUGGGAUGUCGGUCAUGUUUGUUGUCCCCCAGUCACAAUGGCCUACUUGAUGUUCUGCAUCUUCAGUUUAUCCCCAACAUUUUCCCACUCAUGCUUGCUUGGGUCUACAGCGUACAGGGAAUCUUCACCCAGUUUUCCAUAGCAAAAGUGAUUGAGGAGAUGGAGCUUCUGGCAUUCUUUGAAGCAUCAGCUGAAGUUGAAACCACUUAUCCAUAUCUACCUAGGUCAUAUUUUGAAGACUCCAAAUUUAGGAGGCUGUAGCAGCUCCAGGUUCUUAUCUAUUAUCUGGUGUUUCAGUCUGAGUUCUGCUACUUGAUUUGUUCCCAGGGAGACACCAUGAUCACCUUUUUUUUCUCCUCCCUUUUCCCCUUUCUCUCAUUAGCUUUCCUAACAGCAAGAAUCCAGGCAUCUGAUAUAGGUGGUGAAGUCUGAAAUAGUUUUGUAAUUUUUGGCCACAAAUUGGUACUGCACUGACCUGAUCUAGGAGUUUCUGAUCCUCAAAGUCACCUUCCACCACCUGCUGCCCAAUUAUCAGGUAGAGAAUUCUCUCCAGUUUGGAAGCGUGUGCAGCUCAGAAGUACCUUUCCUGACGACGUGCAGCUAUCAAAUAGACGUAAACAUUCUCAGCUCUUAUUCAUGCUUUCUAGGGGGUUCAUUCAGGCCGUCUACAGCCAAAAUAGAUUGCAUAGAGUUUAUAAAUAAAUCCUGAUCCUGGACCCCAUAGAUUCAUUUAAUUGCCAACAUUUCUCCUCCUUCCCCCACUUCUUGGUUCAUUGGAGAUUUUGUCCACAAGUCAGUGUUUCAUUUGUUUGUUUUUGCUUCUCACAUGGCCAUUGUAGUUAUCCCUGCACAUUGUUAAAAUUCUUUAACAGAGUAAAAGAAGGUUCAUGAAUUUUUUUUAUCUUUGUACGAGCAUUGUAACUUUACAUAUAUCACAUUAUUAAAGAUUGAUCCUGACACAGAGUGUCAGGGCUCCCUGUUAAACAGCAAAAGUCAUACUGCUUGGUGGUGACCCUAUCAAAGACACAGUUUAUAACUCACUAAGCCAACUUUGAAAUUAUUAAAUUCUUGAUGAAUUGUUUUUAAUUUGAGCUAGUCACAUAGUGUUACAUAUUGUGCACAAAGUGAGACUUAUUGGUAUUUUAUGUGAUGCUAUUUCUAAUUUGCAGAAUUCAAAUCCACAUAAAAUGCUACUAUACUGUAGCUUGUAACAUUGAUUCCAAAAUGUGCUUGAUUUAGUACCCCAGAGCCGGAGCUUAAUUCUCAGGGAUUUUGUCUUCAAAAUGUGGCCCAGGAAAAAGCCUGCAAUUAGCCCAUUAUGUCUGCUACUGACUACCUAUCCUGUCUGAUAGAAGGUCUGUAAUUCUUUAAGAUGUUGAACAUCCAUAGGAGCCACUUUAAAAAAAAAAAGUAUUUAAAAAAAUGUAUUUAACCUAAAAUUCACUAAGGUAGCCAUGGAAAUGUAUGGUUCAAAUCUCCUGCUCUGAGGAACCUAAUUGACAAAUGGCGUCAGCCAUUGUCCCACUAGAUCCAUCACCUCAGAGGCCACACUUUCCAUAGGAUGUUCCUACAGCCAGUGACUGCAAGCAAUUGAAGUGCUGAUCUGUUCCUGUGAGAUGUAGGACUCCUAUAAUGAUUAUUUAGACCCUUCUGGAAGCUUCCUUAAACAAUUGCAAUCUGAGAUUGUUCUUAUCCAACCCUCCUUCCUGCUACUCCUCUUUCCCUGGUAUUGUAUUUGCAUCCCAAUCUAAAGGUUCUCCUUGCCUUCUCCUACUCCCUUUAUCCUUCAUAGGCACUUCUUCCCCAGUAAAUCUCUUGCUUGUCUAACCCUGUCUUCACAUCUACUGUUCCACAGUAAUGAUCUUUAGACUUCCUCAGUUUCAUGAACAUCCACUUUUAAACUGUAUUGCCUAAGUACCAUAAUCUGAUCUCACAGAGGACUCUGCAGUAUCUCUCUGGCAAUGAGGAGGCAUUCUUGGGACCAGUGUUUCUCAGACUGGAUCAACAUCUAGCCUGUGUGACACCGGUCCAUUAAUUGGGAAGCCGUGAAGAAUAUAUACUCCUGUCUCAGGUGCAGGGCGAUGGUUUAAUCUGAGUUGAAUCUGAAUAUUGUAAUUUUUAUCCCAAAUUCCAGAUAUAUCUUCUAGAAUGAAAUCGAAUAAUGUUUGACUACUCCAUAAAUCUCAAAUCUUUAACUUUCCCAACAACUGUUAAAUAUCCCCUCCUCUCUCUAAACUUACUAAAAUUCUUCUUUCAAACUCACCCAGCCCAUGAUGCCUCAUAUUAUUCUCAGUCUCUGCACACACCCUUUAGAUCCUUCCUUUUCUCCCAAGUGUAGCUCUGUCUUUCCAGUGUCUGCAAAGCUAGCAUGUUGCUUCUCCACUUCACCUUUCACACCUUGCCUUUUUUUCUUAGGAGACAGAAAACUAGAGAGGAUAUCAACAUAAUGUUAACAAUUGUCUUUGUUCCUGUUACUGCUUCACACAAGUAAAUGGUUAUUCCAUCUCUACAGGCCUUACCUCCAGCAUCUUCUCACUCUCCAAUCAGCCCUAAGUCCGGUGAGAAACUCUCAGGCUUACUUUUGGGUCCUUCCAAGAGAGGCACUCGUGAAACUAGCCCAAGCAUUAGCAAUUCAGCACCUUUCAUAAUGAAAAAUCCUUUCAUCCAAGAAAAUUUAGGAGGCGGCAGAACGCCUGGCCUUGUGGCUAAUUCAGCAGUGAUCUCUCAUUCGCCCUGCUGAGGUCGUUCACCUCAGUCAGGGGUUGGCUAAGGCUGAAAGAGAAAGAAGUGCAUCCCUGCAGGCUAGUCAUGGUCCUCCUCCUGCCAUUCCUCCCUGUUGCACACCCCAUCAUCAAUCCUGGCCACCACUACCUGCUAGCUACUGCUUGGCCUGAAUUGGUAUUCUUCCUGCCUUACCAGUCUGCGCUUAGAUUUAUGAUUUACUUAGAAUUGGAUUACAUCAAGGCUCAAGGCCAAGGCGCCAUAAUCUGUCACCGUCUCCACCGUGGCCAAACACAAACAUUUGUUUUAGCUGCAUCAGCAUCCCUAAACUCUGUUCAAAGGAUACCCAUUGUUAAUCCCCAUAGCAACUGAAUCUUGUGUUUUUUUUCUUCUCCACCCCCAACUUCUUUGCCACCCUCCUUCUUGGUUCCAAAUAAAAGUAUUGUCUUCCUCAGGUGAUAGAUAUUCAUAAUUUAACAGAAUGGUGACAAGACUAAGUUAUGCUAUUGAAAUAUAUCACAGCCAGAGUUGCUUUGCUAUUUGUUUUUGUGCUGAAUAGCAGCAAGUGUUUUAAGUUAUGGGUCUCGUGCACACACACAAGGAGAAGAAAGGGAGUAUAUGUAAUUGUCUCUAGUAUUGAUGAUGGCUCCUUGCCUGCUUAGUAAAGUCUCAAGAUACAAAAUCAGGGUGCAUAUUUUUAUACUUUCUUAUUGUUUAUUAAUAAUAGUGAAAGGAACCAUAUUUGAUAUUUCUGUAGCUCAUCACAGUUAACAAAGAGCAAACAUUACAUCAUCCAAACUUUACAGUAUUUUGUUAAAUGAAGGUAUUUAUGCUCUAUUUUAUGGGUGAGGAAAUAUAAGUUCAGAGAAGUAAAGUAAUGAGUCUGUGCUUCUAAAGUUAGUAAGGAACAAGCAGAGAACUGAAGGCAGAUCUUUAAAUUCUAAACUGAAAGCUCCUCUGCUAUACCAUCUCUGCUUUUUUAACAAAUGAGA
This 5857-nucleotide long non-coding RNA is filed under the name Sus scrofa (pig). RNAcentral describes it as "lncRNA (ENSSSCG00040028009.1)". Lineage: Eukaryota; Metazoa; Chordata; Mammalia; Artiodactyla; Suidae. The record is from RNAcentral.